This 1988-nucleotide long non-coding RNA is filed under the name Populus trichocarpa (black cottonwood). RNAcentral's name for it is "long non-coding RNA (PTRI_LNC001932)". Lineage: Eukaryota; Viridiplantae; Streptophyta; Magnoliopsida; Malpighiales; Salicaceae. The record is from RNAcentral.
AAUAAAACGGCACAUAAAAGAGAAGACACGCAGCAUUUACUGACUUGUAGAAUAACGACUUCAGUAGAUUACUACAUCUCCAGCUAAAACAAGGAAACCAUAGCAGCGCAGAUUUUAAACUGAAUGACACUGAACAACAAUUUAAUUGAGUGCUUUAUUUUUCUUUCAGGUGGAAUAGUAAACCAUUGAAGAACUUAUCACCUCAAAAUUGUGUGGCUCAAUUGAGAAUUGCGUGAGGACCUCCUGAGCUUUCUGUCGCCCUUUGAAGCCAUCAUCAUGAUCGUUGAAGCUCAGCAGCACAAGGUCUUUACAAACGUGGAUCGCCUACUGAGGACUACAAAUCCAUCUUCAACGCUACCAUACUAAGGCCAAAUCACUCACACCCAGAGAACCAAACAAGAAGAUCCAAUUGCAAAUCACAAGACUAGGUAAGAGCCACUUAAAUCCAGCCCCAAGGUCUUACAAGGAUAUCAUAGAGGACAAUAAGCUUAAUUAACAUACUUGCUACAAAAUAUGUAAUUGUAAAACGCUAGCAACAAUAGUAAAGCUAUCGAAACAGAAAUUCUGCGCAAGAUCGCAGUAAUGGAUUGACAAGCUAUAUCUAAAUAAACAAAACUCGUGCUCAUGUUUGCUCUGUAAAAUAAUAACAUGAGAUGCGUGCGUUGGAUAAUGAAAUAACUUGGAACGAAUGUUACCUGCAAUAACGGGGUGGUGCAAUGGAAUAAAAGCUUGAGUGCAAGGAAAGCAUACUGUUUAAUAUAGAAUAGAAGGUAAGCCCUGAUAUCAUAAUUUCCAGUGUCUUUGUUUUUUAUGUACUCUGUGAUGUGUGACUGCCAGUUUCAAGUGCUGAAACAUGUUUUAGUAGAAUUCUCUUAAUAGCCCAUAUUACCAAGAUGAAUAUUUGAUGGGAGCAGAUAGUGAUGAACAAUGAGAACCCAGAUUACAAAUUCAUGAUCUUGCUAACGACUGAUUCUACGUGAAGGGGCAUGUGACUACAUGAUUCUAAGUGCAGGAAAAUCGAAUUGAGGAUAUAGGAUAUAAGUAGGAGAAUACCUUCGGGUCACCGUCAUAAAUUGCAAUAUCGUGCCAUGGAUGAAUUGAUUGCUAGCUGGAGUCGGGGCCGCGCUUUAGCCAUGGAUUGUAAGGCAAAGAGAAGAGAAAGCGGGACACAGAGACUAGAGGGGAGAACCCGGGAAAUCCCCGUGCGAUCUCCCCUCCAAACACGAAAAUGAUAAUUUUAUUAAGAUAGUGGUUGACCUGCCAUGCAAGCGCACCUGUCAUGGCAAAGGUCGGAUGACAAAGAUAAUAAACAAGACCUUGGCCUCUUGGCCUUCUGGUCCCGAUAUAUAUCUUAUACAUCAUCCUCAUAAAUAAAUCGAACACCAACACCAGCAUCAUCUCCUUCCUGUCCUUCUCCACCAACAAAUUACACAUAACAUGCUACACCACAGCUCACAUAACCAAUCUUCAGCCAUGUCUACAUCCAGCAACACGUUCAGCGGAUUCUGUAACUGCUUACAACACCACCUGCAGAAAAAAUCUCAAAUCAUCUUCUGCUUUCCGCCAACAACCAAACUUAAAUAUUGCUAAAAUUCCUCAUGAUCGAAGAAAGCAUGGCCGGAAGGGACAGAUCCGCUUAAUAUUUGAGCUAUCGAAACAGAGCCGCGCCACAUCUACAGAACAAAAUUAGAUUUACGCGGAUUAAUGACUUGAUCAAUAACCAAUAGACAGAUAUUCAAUCAGAUCUAGCUUAGGAACGUAAACAAAACACUUAUACAUACCUCUGGAGCUAUCUCCGAGCAAAUCAAGAUCAUGGAGUUCGAGCAUCGAAACGGAUAUCAAGAUAAAGAUCGCAAGGCGAUCUAUAUGAAGCUGCAAUUGAAAAGAUCGAAGGAUGAUCCAUGAAGAGUAGAUCUAUGGAGAAACUAGAGCUUUGCUGAUAAGAUUAGGUAGAUAUGAAAGUUGUGUAUGUGAUUAUUAUAUAGAGG